GCUUUGGUGGUUCAGUGGUGGAAUUCCCGCCUGCCACGCUGGAGACCCGUGUCCGAUUCCCGGCCAAUGCA
RNAcentral lists this transfer RNA (71 nucleotides) under Danio rerio (zebrafish). It matches the Rfam family "tRNA". From Rfam's summary of the family: Transfer RNA (tRNA) molecules are approximately 80 nucleotides in length. Their secondary structure includes four short double-helical elements and three loops (D, anti-codon, and T loops). The record is from Rfam by way of RNAcentral. Lineage: Eukaryota; Metazoa; Chordata; Actinopteri; Cypriniformes; Danionidae.